Molecule: ribosomal RNA, 502 nt
Filed under: uncultured bacterium
Lineage: Bacteria
Description: partial 16S ribosomal RNA
Rfam family: Bacterial small subunit ribosomal RNA
Source: RNAcentral
AUUGAACGCUGGCGGCAUGCUUUACACAUGCAAGUCGAACGGCAGCAUAGGUGCUUGCACCUGAUGGCGAGUGGCGAACGGGUGAGUAAUAUAUCGGAACAUGUCCGGAAGUGGGGGAUAACGUAGCGAAAGUUACGCUAAUACCGCAUAUGCCCUGAGGGGGAAAGGGGGGGAUCGCAAGACCUCUCGCUUUCGGAGUGGCCGAUAUCGGAUUAGCUAGUAGGUGAGGUAAAGGCUCACCUAGGCGACGAUCCGUAGCUGGUCUGAGAGGACGACCAGCCACACUGGGACUGAGACACGGCCCAGACUCCUACGGGAGGCAGCAGUGGGGAAUUUUGGACAAUGGGCGCAAGCCUGAUCCAGCCAUGCCGCGUGAGUGAAGAAGGCCUUCGGGUUGUAAAGCUCUUUCAGACGGAGAGAAAUCGUGCAGAUUAAUACUCUGUAUGGAUGACGGUACCGUAAGAAGAAGCACCGGCUAACUACGUGCCAGCAGCCGCGGUAA